Molecule: ribosomal RNA, 591 nt
Filed under: Alternaria solani
Lineage: Eukaryota; Fungi; Ascomycota; Dothideomycetes; Pleosporales; Pleosporaceae
Description: eukaryotic LSU rRNA
Source: RNAcentral
UCGGUCAGAGACGGCCUGGACCUCCUUCGGUGCCGUUCUUGCUUGCUCUUUUCUUCCGCCUUUCCCCUGCCCCCUUUUUCUUUCGUGGGCUCGACCCUCCCCUCUUGACCCUCUUUGUUCCUUUUUAGCUUGCAACCUCCGUUAAAACUUAAUGCAAUUGAUCUACUUUUCCGACCUCUCGCUUGGUUCUGGCAUCUGCGAUAAACGCUGUGAAUUGCAAACUUCAGUGUGAAUUGCAAUCCCAUUGAAUCAUCGCGCCCCCCGGUUUUCUCCCUCCCUGCCCCUUCGAGCGUGCUUGCCUGAGCGAGCCUUGCUUGACCCUGGGUCUUUGGUUUUGGUUGUCGUUCUUCUACCCAUCGCAGGAUCUUCUGCCUCCAUUGGUUGCCGGCCUUCUGUUGACUUGGCUGCUCAACUAUCUUGCACUUUCAAUCUACCCAUGUCGAGGGUCCAUCCCGAAGCUAUUUUUUUUAACCUUUUGAACUAAGACCAAGUAAGGAUUCCCAGGAAAUGUUAAACAUAUCCAUAGAGCGACACGAAACAAGUAGGACUACCCGCUGAACUUUAAGCAUAUCAAUAAGCGGAGGAAAACAC